RNAcentral lists this ribosomal RNA (620 nucleotides) under Pseudomonas sp. RNAcentral's name for it is "bacterial SSU rRNA". It matches the Rfam family "Bacterial small subunit ribosomal RNA", at positions 123 to 739 of the family's 1533-position model. The record is from RNAcentral. Lineage: Bacteria; Pseudomonadati; Pseudomonadota; Gammaproteobacteria; Pseudomonadales; Pseudomonadaceae.
AAUCUGCCUGGUAGUGGGGGACAACGUUUCGAAAGGAACGCUAAUACCGCAUACGUCUACGGGAGAAAGCAGGGGACCUUCGGGCCUUGCGCUAUCAGAUGAGCCUAGGUCGGAUUAGCUAGUAGGUGAGGUAAUGGCUCACCUAGGCGACGAUCCGUAACUGGUCUGAGAGGAUGAUCAGUCACACUGGAACUGAGACACGGUCCAGACUCCUACGGGAGGCAGCAGUGGGGAAUAUUGGACAAUGGGCGAAAGCCUGAUCCAGCCAUGCCGCGUGUGUGAAGAAGGUCUUCGGAUUGUAAAGCACUUUAAGUUGGGAGGAAGGGCAGUAAGUUAAUACCUUGCUGUUUUGACGUUACCAACAGAAUAAGCACCGGCUAACUUCGUGCCAGCAGCCGCGGUAAUACGAAGGGUGCAAGCGUUAAUCGGAAUUACUGGGCGUAAAGCGCGCGUAGGUGGUUCAGCAAGUUGGAGGUGAAAUCCCCGGGCUCAACCUGGGAACUGCCUCCAAAACUACUGAGCUAGAGUACGGUAGAGGGUAGUGGAAUUUCCUGUGUAGCGGUGAAAUGCGUAGAUAUAGGAAGGAACACCAGUGGCGAAGGCGACUACCUGGACUGAUA